GUUUAGAUGCACAAGCUAUUGAAAGCUUAUAUGAAAAAUUAAACACUAUGGAGAAUACAAUAAACAAUUUAGUUAACGCUUUGAAACCUUCAUCAAGUUCCUCA
Molecule: long non-coding RNA, 104 nt
Organism: Hydra vulgaris (swiftwater hydra)
Lineage: Eukaryota; Metazoa; Cnidaria; Hydrozoa; Anthoathecata; Hydridae
Source: RefSeq, a predicted model, not a curated record